GUAGGGAAUAUUGGGCAAUGGAGGCAACUCUGACCCAGCCAUGCCGCGUGCAGGAUGACGGCCCUCUGGGUUGUAAACUGCUUUUAUACGGGAAGAAAAAAUACUACGUGUAGUAUACUGACGUUACCGUAAGAAUAAGGAUCGGCUAAUUCCGUGCCAGCAGCCGCGGUAAUAGGGAGGAUCCAAGCGCUUUCGGGAUUUUUUGGGUUUAAAGGGUGCGGAGGCGGAUCUUUAAGUCAGUGGUGAAAGACUGCAGCUUAACUGUAGAAUUGCCAUUGAAACUGAAGAUCUUGAAUGUGGUUAAAGUAGGCGGAAUGUAUCAUGUAGCGGUGAAAUGCUUAGAUAUGAUACAGAACACCGAUAGCGAAGGCAGCUUGCUGAACCAUUAUUGACGCUGAGGCACGAAAGCGUGGGGAGCGAACAGGAUUAGAAACCCCGGUAGUCC
Molecule: ribosomal RNA, 445 nt
Filed under: uncultured bacterium
Lineage: Bacteria
Description: partial 16S ribosomal RNA
Rfam family: Bacterial small subunit ribosomal RNA
Source: RNAcentral